UAUAAAGAGAGAGUUCCAUCAGGUUUCUU
Molecule: non-coding RNA, 29 nt
Filed under: Mus musculus (house mouse)
Lineage: Eukaryota; Metazoa; Chordata; Mammalia; Rodentia; Muridae
Source: RNAcentral